ACUCCUACGGGAGGGCAGCAGUGGGGAAUAUUGCACAAUGGGCGCAAGCCUGAUGCAGCCAUGCCGCGUGUGUGAAGAAGGCCUUCGGGUUGAUAAAGCACUUUUCAGUUGUGAGGAAAGGUUAGUCGCUAAUAAUCGGCUAGCUGUUGACGUUAGCAACAGAAGAAGCACCGGCUAACUCCGUGCCAGCAGCCGCGGUAAUACGGAGGGUGCGAGCGUUAAUCGGAAUUACUGGGCGUAAAGCGCGUGUAGGUGGC
Molecule: ribosomal RNA, 257 nt
Filed under: uncultured bacterium
Lineage: Bacteria
Description: partial 16S ribosomal RNA
Rfam family: Bacterial small subunit ribosomal RNA
Source: RNAcentral